GUCGCAGCCAAAACUCAGGAGAACGAGGGUUCUCAAUUGCAGCUCCGAUGCUUCCCCUCCAUAUUAGACAAGCGUCAUCAGUGCAGCAGGUGGAACAGGUCGAGCUGGUCUGCAAACACACCUGAGAGGUGUCACCGGCUCCAGUCUCACCUCCACCUGCCUGAGAAGGGAAACGUCUCCUCACAGCAACACAGAAAAUCACAGACAUGGACAAACUGGCCGGGAUUGUCGGGAAAAAAGUGGGAGAUGCGGUGGAGGGUGCGGUGAAGGGCGCUCUGCAUUUAGGGAACAAAGACAAAGACAAGAAUAAGAAGAAAGGUGGAGGAGGAAUCUUCUCACGGACAGGAGGCGACAAGGACAAAAAGAAGGAGGUGGACAAGGGCGAAGACAAAGGAGGACUCUUCAACAGAGAGGACGAAUAUGAGAAGGAGCGGAAGUCCGGAUUCAAGGGUCUCUUCACUGAAGGGCCGCUCCCUGAAGCUGGCGGUGGUGGCGGAGCAGCGAUGGAAGGAGAAGGUGAAGAAAAACCACAAAGUGCUUCUGCCAACGAUGGGGAUUUGCUGGAUGAUCUUUUCGAAUUGGCUGAAGAAACAUCUCAAGGAAACUAAAACAGGAAGCUGUAAAGCACAUCCCGACCCCCGAGGAAUCAACUCCCACUCCUGAAUAAAGACUAAAAAAAAAAUCCACUUUUUUGUCCGUCUUUCAGAAACGCACAGCUUCAGGCAGAUAACUCGUAAGCUGGAAAGGAAAUGGCGUGCCACAAACCAUUAGAGGAAAAAUGACCAAUAAUCAUCCCACAGAUGUGAGUCACAGUUUAACAGUUCAUACACUGUUAUUUAAAGUGUGAAGUGUCUGUGGCCUGAAGAGCGUGGCAGCACUUUGAGCUCACAUUCAGUGAUGGGCGGUUUGUGUUGGCUCAUGUUUUGGAACUAGUUCGAUGCACAGAAACAUACGAAGUAACAUCAGUACAGAAAAGGAGAGCACUUCUGUGAAUGAUGAAUUAGCCGGUGGAACAGGUCGGGCUGCUCUGCAGACACACCUGAUUCCUCAGCUGAGCCACCUGAUGGGCGUCGUCGGCCGCGCUCUCACCUGAGAGCUGAACUUAAAGCACACCUGAGUGCGCCUCAGAGACAGAAACACCGCAGAGAUGGACAACCUCGCACAGAUAGCCGGCCAAAAAGCGGGUAGCUUGGUGGAGGGGGCAGUGAAGGGAGCUCUGAAUUCAGCCAACAAGAACAAAGGUGAGAAGAAAGGAGGAGGAGGCGGCAUCUUCUCGAUGUUUGGAGGCAACAAGAACAAAAAUAAGGACAAAGACGAUAAAGGAGCGCCCCUCCCAAAUGUGCCCAACAAAGAUGAUAGUGGGGGCAAGAAACCAGUACCCGAAGGGAAUUUAGCGGGAACUACAGGAGGGAGCGUGGGACCGACGAUGGGAGGAGGUGCAGGAGGGAGCGUGGGACCGACGAUGGGAGGAGGUGCAGGAGGAAGUGGAGGAUCAGCUGGACCUGUAGGACAGGAAGGAGUCACAACAGACAGAGAUCUGAUGGAUGAUCUGUUCGAGCUGGGAGACGAAAUGAAAGGGAACUGAAGCAAAAGGAAGAAAACCCGACUCCCACAACCACUCAGAGAAGAUCCGGAAGGACGAGAGCGCCCACAUUUUUCUCUGGUCUACAGUUUUGCACAGAACUAAAGAUUUUAAUGCAUUAUCAGCCUAUUAUUCACCGUGUUUUAUUCACCGUGUUUUCUGCUUUUAGAUAACCAGUCAGUGUGUUUAACUUUAUCAUAAUAAUAGCACCAGCAAAGACGUUAUGAAUGAAUAAAUUUAAAUGUUUUACUGGAGGGGACUUUUCCUUCUUUUGGUCAGUUUGUCAGUAUUUUGUCUCGUAGAAGCUUCUCGUAAACUCCAUGGUGGAUGUUUUAAAACAUAUAUUAGUUUUAAUUUUAAGAAAAAUAAAAAUCUUACACAUAGUUCAAUAUAUGAUCAUUGAAAAUCAAUAAAAGCAAUCUGAAAUAAAUACUGUCAUAACAAACAGAAUUAAAUAAAGAAAUAAAUUUAUGAAAAUGUGUUUUUUUCCAUUUACUUCUGAUGUUUUUCCUUAUGUUGACAUACACUUUGAUUCAUUAUAAACUCAAUCAUUUAAAUAACAUUUCAAACCUCAAGAUUACUCAAGUAGUGAGUAACUGUUUGAAAUGUCCGAUUUAUUUUUUAGAUAAAUGCUAUCAGACAAACAAAAAUAAAUAAAGAUACAAAUCUUAGUAUUUUCAACAGGAAUAUAUGUAAAAACAACAAUUCUAAUUUCCAG
Molecule: long non-coding RNA, 2300 nt
Organism: Astatotilapia calliptera (eastern happy)
Lineage: Eukaryota; Metazoa; Chordata; Actinopteri; Cichliformes; Cichlidae
Source: Ensembl